Molecule: long non-coding RNA, 708 nt
Filed under: Equus asinus (donkey)
Lineage: Eukaryota; Metazoa; Chordata; Mammalia; Perissodactyla; Equidae
Description: lncRNA (ENSEASG00005027621.1)
Source: RNAcentral
UGUAAGUCGCCGGCAGUUUUUGUUUUUGUCUUUGUGUUGACUUUUCCAACAGGACCGACUGGAAAUAAUGGGUACCUGGCAGCCCUCUGGGCUCCGUUUGUUUGGAAGUCGCCGCGACGCCCUAGCCAAAUUUUGGACACAAUUGGAAACACUCGUUAUAACACCAAGGCUUUGACUGGGACAUCAUAUUUGAGAAAAACACACAAGCUCGGAUAUGAUGAGACAGCUUUUGAGGAACCAAGGUUGACUUUCUGGAAUAAAGCCACUUGGAAAUAUUGGCCUGAAAAACUUCUUAUUAAAUACCUGGUUACUUACUUACAUGAUACAGGCCUAACUUCAGGAGCCCACCAGCAUCACCGCCUUAUUAAAAGACUGGUUCAAUGAGAUGAAACGACCUAUGCCCCAUUUCAGCAGGAAGUAGCUAGAUCGGUCACCAUCCCAAAUCCCUCAAGAUUGAGGAACGGACAUAAAAUAGGGGGGAGUUGAUAUCGACCCUGAUAUCAGUUUCCCCACAUUAAACCCAGCAUAUAUGGGGUUAAAACCCAAACACUCAUUCCCUGCUUACUCUCUGGCUUCCUGGCUCCAGAAUCCACUAUCCUCCAUGGAGACAGACACUGUCAAGGACCAGCACCUGGACUAUCUCCUCCCCACAAAGAGAUACAGACUGGUGGGAAAGCUUCUGACCAGCAAGGCCAUAUGCUCCCCCCC